This 2399-nucleotide ribosomal RNA is filed under the name Salmonella enterica. RNAcentral describes it as "bacterial LSU rRNA". It matches the Rfam family "Bacterial large subunit ribosomal RNA", at positions 1 to 2290 of the family's 2925-position model. Lineage: Bacteria; Pseudomonadati; Pseudomonadota; Gammaproteobacteria; Enterobacterales; Enterobacteriaceae. The record is from RNAcentral. RNAcentral also lists the same sequence under 1 other name.
AGCGACUAAGCGUACACGGUGGAUGCCCUGGCAGUCAGAGGCGAUGAAGGGCGUGCUAAUCUGCGAUAAGCGCCGGUAAGGUGAUAUGAACCGUUAUAACCGGCGAUACCCGAAUGGGGAAACCCAGUGUGACUCGUCACACUAUCAUUAACUGAAUCCAUAGGUUAAUGAGGCGAACCGGGGGAACUGAAACAUCUAAGUACCCCGAGGAAAAGAAAUCAACCGAGAUUCCCCCAGUAGCGGCGAGCGAACGGGGAGGAGCCCAGAGCCUGAAUCAGCAUGUGUGUUAGUGGAAGCGUCUGGAAAGGCGCGCGAUACAGGGUGACAGCCCCGUACACAAAAGCGCAUGUGCUGUGAGCUCGAUGAGUAGGGCGGGACACGUGGUAUCCUGUCUGAAUAUGGGGGGACCAUCCUCCAAGGCUAAAUACUCCUGACUGACCGAUAGUGAACCAGUACCGUGAGGGAAAGGCGAAAAGAACCCCGGCGAGGGGAGUGAAAAAGAACCUGAAACCGUGUACGUACAAGCAGUGGGAGCCCCACCACCAAAGCAUUUGCUGUACCGCGUUGACGGAGCGAAGCGACGUCAAACCGAUAAAACAGCAGUGUAAAGUGAGCCGCAGGGCGCUUUGCGCGACAGCGCAAAGGCAGGCGGUUUCGCGUAGCGAAAGCGAAUGCUUUGGGGUGGGGUGACUGCGUACCUUUUGUAUAAUGGGUCAGCGACUUAUAUUCUGUAGCAAGGUUAACCGAAUAGGGGAGCCGGAGGGAAACCGAGUCUUAAUUGGGCGUUAAGUUGCAGGGUAUAGACCCGAAACCCGGUGAUCUAGCCAUGGGCAGGUUGAAGGUUGGGUAACACUAACUGGAGGACCGAACCGACUAAUGUUGAAAAAUUAGCGGAUGACCUGUGGCUGGGGGUGAAAGGCCAAUCAAACCGGGAGAUAGCUGGUUCUCCCCGAAAGCUAUUUAGGUAGCGCCUCGUGAAUUCAUCUCCGGGGGUAGAGCACUGUUUCGGCUAGGGGGCCAUCCCGGCUUACCAACCCGAUGCAAACUGCGAAUACCGGAGAAUGUUAUCACGGGAGACACACGGCGGGUGCUAACGUCCGUCGUGAAGAGGGAAACAACCCAGACCGCCAGCUAAGGUCCCAAAGUCAUGGUUAAGUGGGAAACGAUGUGGGAAGGCCCAGACAGCCAGGAUGUUGGCUUAGAAGCAGCCAUCAUUUAAAGAAAGCGUAAUAGCUCACUGGUCGAGUCGGCCUGCGCGGAAGAUGUAACGGGGCUAAACCAUGCACCGAAGCUGCGGCAGCGACACUGUGUGUUGUUGGGUAGGGGAGCGUUCUGUAAGCCUGUGAAGGUGUGUCGUGAGGCAUGCUGGAGGUAUCAGAAGUGCGAAUGCUGACAUAAGUAACGAUAAAGCGGGUGAAAAGCCCGCUCGCCGGAAGACCAAGGGUUCCUGUCCAACGUUAAUCGGGGCAGGGUGAGUCGACCCCUAAGGCGAGGCCGAAAGGCGUAGUCGAUGGGAAACGGGUUAAUAUUCCCGUACUUGGUGUUACUGCGAAGGGGGGACGGAGAAGGCUAUGUUGGCCGGGCGACGGUUGUCCCGGUUUAAGCGUGUAGGUGUGUGUUCCAGGUAAAUCCGGUUCACUUUAACACUGAGGCGUGACGACGAGGCACUACGGUGCUGAAGCAACAAAUGCCCUGCUUCCAGGAAAAGCCUCUAAGCAUCAGGUAACAUCAAAUCGUACCCCAAACCGACACAGGUGGUCAGGUAGAGAAUACCAAGGCGCUUGAGAGAACUCGGGUGAAGGAACUAGGCAAAAUGGUGCCGUAACUUCGGGAGAAGGCACGCUGACACGUAGGUGAAGUGAUUUACUCAUGGAGCUGAAGUCAGUCGAAGAUACCAGCUGGCUGCAACUGUUUAUUAAAAACACAGCACUGUGCAAACACGAAAGUGGACGUAUACGGUGUGACGCCUGCCCGGUGCCGGAAGGUUAAUUGAUGGGGUCAGCGCAAGCGAAGCUCCUGAUCGAAGCCCCGGUAAACGGCGGCCGUAACUAUAACGGUCCUAAGGUAGCGAAAUUCCUUGUCGGGUAAGUUCCGACCUGCACGAAUGGCGUAAUGAUGGCCAGGCUGUCUCCACCCGAGACUCAGUGAAAUUGAACUCGCUGUGAAGAUGCAGUGUACCCGCGGCAAGACGGAAAGACCCCGUGAACCUUUACUAUAGCUUGACACUGAACAUUGAGCCUUGAUGUGUAGGAUAGGUGGGAGGCUUUGAAGUGUGGACGCCAGUCUGCAUGGAGCCGACCUUGAAAUACCACCCUUUAAUGUUUGAUGUUCUAACGUGGACCCGUUACCCGGGUUGCGGACAGUGUCUGGUGGGUAGUUUGACUGGGGCGGUCUCCUCC